GACGAACGCUGGCGGCGUGCUUAACACAUGCAAGUCACGGGGGGCUUCGCAAGGAGCAACCGGCGAACGGGGUGCGUAACACGUGAGCGACCUGCCAUACCUGUGGGGGGAUAGCCGGCCCAACGGCCGGGUAAUACCGCAUACGAUCUUUGGGGGCGCAUGCUCUGGAGACGAAAGCUCGGGGGGGAACCCGGAGCGCAGGAUGAGGGGCUCGCGGCCUAUCAGCUGGUUGGCGGGGUAANGGCCCACCAAGGCGAUGACGGGUAGCUGGUCUGAGAGGAUGGCCAGCCACAUUGGGACUGAGAGACGGCCCAGACUCC
RNAcentral lists this ribosomal RNA (320 nucleotides) under uncultured bacterium. RNAcentral describes it as "partial 16S ribosomal RNA". It matches the Rfam family "Bacterial small subunit ribosomal RNA", at positions 28 to 339 of the family's 1533-position model. The record is from RNAcentral.